Molecule: ribosomal RNA, 446 nt
Filed under: uncultured bacterium
Lineage: Bacteria
Description: partial 16S ribosomal RNA
Rfam family: Bacterial small subunit ribosomal RNA
Source: RNAcentral
CCUACGGGUGGCAGCAGUCGAGAAUCAUUCACAAUGGGGGAAACCCUGAUGGUGCGACGCCGCGUGGGGGAAUGAAGGUCUUCGGAUUGUAAACCCCUGUCAUGUGGGAGCAAAUUAAAAAGAUAGUACCACAAGAGGAAGAGACGGCUAACUCUGUGCCAGCAGCCGCGGUAAUACAGAGGUCUCAAGCGUUGUUCGGAAUCACUGGGCGUAAAGCGUGCGUAGGCUGUUUCGUAAGUCGUGUGUGAAAGGCGCGGGCUCAACCCGCGGACGGCACAUGAUACUGCGAGACUAGAGUAAGGGAGGGGGAACCGGAAUUCUCGGUGUAGCAGUGAAAUGCGUAGAUAUCGAGAGGAACACUCGUGGCGAAGGCGGGUUCCUGGACAUUAACUGACGCUGAGGCACGAAGGCCAGGAGAGCGAAAGGGAUUAGAUACCCCUGUAGUC